UUUGUCAGUAAAGGAGCAAUUCGCUAUGAGAGGGGUCCGCGGCUGAUUAGCUAGUUGGUGAGGUAAUGGCUCACCAAGGCAACGAUCAGUAGCCGGUCUGAGAGGACGGUCGGCCACACUGGAACUGAGACACGGUCCAGACUCCUACGGGAGGCAGCAGUGGGGAAUUUUUCGCAAUGGGGGAAACCUGACGAAGCAAUGCCGCGUGGAUGAUGAAGUAUUUCGGUACGUAAAAUCCUUUCGACGGGGACGAAACCGCAAGGUUGACGGUACCCGUAGAAGAAGCCCCGGCUAACUCCGUGCCAGCAGCCGCGGUAAUACGGGGGGGGCAAGCGUUGUUCGGAAUUACUGGGCGUAAAGGGUGCGUAGGCGGCUUUCUAAGUUGGAUGUGAAAACUCUGGGCUCAACCCAGAGACUGCAUCCAAAACUGGAGAGCUUGGGUUCUGGAGGGGAAAGCGGAAUUCCUGGUGUAGCGGUGAAAUGCGUAGAUAUCAGGAGGAACACCGGUGGCGAAGGCGGCUUUCUGGACAGAUACCGACGCUGAGGCACGAAAGCUAGGGGAGCAAACAGGAUUAGAUACCCUGGUAGUCCUAGCCCUAAACGAUGGUACUUGCUGUGAGGGGGAUUGAAACCCUUGUGGCGAAGCUAACGCAUCAAGUAUCCCGCCUGGGGAGUACGGUCGCAAGGCUGAAACUCAAGGGAAUUGACGGGGGCCCGCACAAGCGGUGGAGUAUGUGGUUUAAUUCGACGCAACGCGAAGAACCUUACCUGGGCUCGAACGGCUAGUGACAGGAGAUG
RNAcentral lists this ribosomal RNA (798 nucleotides) under uncultured bacterium. RNAcentral's name for it is "bacterial SSU rRNA". It matches the Rfam family "Bacterial small subunit ribosomal RNA", at positions 194 to 1003 of the family's 1533-position model. The record is from RNAcentral.